UACGUAGGGUGCGAGCGUUAAUCGGAAUUACUGGGCGUAAAGCGUGCGCAGGCGGUUUUGUAAGACAGAUGUGAAAUCCCCGGGCUUAACCUGGGAACUGCGUUUGAGACUGCGAGACUAGAGUAAGGCAGAGGGGGGUGGAAUUCCGCGUGUAGCAGUGAAAUGCGUAGAUAUGCGGAGGAACACCGAUGGCGAAGGCAGCCCCCUGGGCUAUUACUGACGCUCAUGCACGAAAGCGUGGGGAGCAAACAGG
RNAcentral lists this ribosomal RNA (253 nucleotides) under uncultured bacterium. RNAcentral describes it as "partial 16S ribosomal RNA". It matches the Rfam family "Bacterial small subunit ribosomal RNA", at positions 524 to 776 of the family's 1533-position model. The record is from RNAcentral.